AGGAGCUAGACUCUUCAGUACAACAUUGGCUUUUCUCCCCUCUGUGGAGACUUGGAGACAUUUCAUAUCUACAAAUGGAGCUCAGGAACUUUGGAUUAAGGCUAACCUUGCUUAAAGAUCAGCUAUAAUCAAGCUGUAUGGGGAUAACACCUGUGAUCCCAGCACUCGGAAAGCAGAGGCAGGAGGAUGAUAAGAUCACAGUAAAUCUGCACUACAUAGAGAGGUACUGUCUUAAACCCAGGUAUGCUACGGAGUUAGACCUUAUCUCAGAUUUUUUUUUUAAUUCAAAAUUAAGGUUAUUAAAGGGCAAGAUAUUGCUGGCAGGAGAGGUAGGUUUGAGUGGUUCACACUUCAGUAGACUCUCCUUCCUAUCUGUCCUUUGAAUUAGGAAGAGCCUUCGAUUGCCACUGCCUUUAGAGCUUCACUCUUGGUACCAAAUCACAGGAGGUCUGUCCAGAGUAACCAGGAAAUGUGACGACGGGCUCUGUGAAAGGAAAGUCCCUGGCUUUUCACCCAAAGCAAUGCAAGUCUUGGUUUGAGAGGACCAGG
RNAcentral lists this long non-coding RNA (549 nucleotides) under Cricetulus griseus (Chinese hamster). RNAcentral describes it as "lncRNA (ENSCGRG00015035126.1)". The record is from RNAcentral. Lineage: Eukaryota; Metazoa; Chordata; Mammalia; Rodentia; Cricetidae.